Aricia agestis (brown argus) is the source of this 286-nucleotide long non-coding RNA. RefSeq lists it as uncharacterized. The transcript is spliced from 2 exons. The record is from RefSeq and is a predicted model, not a curated record. NCBI's taxonomy places the organism in Eukaryota, Metazoa, Arthropoda, Insecta, Lepidoptera, Lycaenidae.
CAUUUGUAUAAAUAUAUUUUAAAAUAUUAACUAUUGAUUUUUAACGAUGAUACAUUUUGAAAAUAUUCUUAAUUUUGUAUGUGAUGUGACGAAAUCUGCGUCCUCAAAACUCUGUAAUUUUCCCUCAGUACGAGCUGAAAUUUUCAGAGAAAGAGUGCCAUGUUUGAAACCGGAUGGAUCAGUGGGAGAAAUGGAAAUUUGUAAAGAUAUUGACUGUGGUCGCAGAGUUGAGUGUCCGGCAAACGAAGAUUCUGAAAGACAAACGCGGAUUCCUUUUUGCAUUUAU